CACUUUCCUCCUCUUGAAAAUGCAACAAGGGAAGCUGUAUAAAGAAACAAUACUGGGCCAGGCGCGGUGGCUCACGCCUGUAAUCCCAGCAUUUUGGGAGGCCAAGGCGGGUGGAUCACCUGAGGUCAGGAGUUCAAGACCAGCCUGACCAACAUGGCAAAACCUCAUCUCUACUAAAAAUACAAAAUUAGCCAGGGGUGGUGGCACAUGCCUGUAAUCCCAGCUACUGGGGAAGCUGAAGCAGGAGAAUUGCUUGAACCCAGGAGGCAGAAGUUGCAGUGAGCCGAGAUCGCGUCAUCGCAUUCCAGCCUGGGCAACAAAGAGCGAAACUCCAUCUCAAAAAAAAAAAAAAAAGGAAAAAGAAACAAUACCAGAAAGCCCAUCUCUACAUUGCUAGGCAACCUUUCCAAGAUUCCUAGAGUGUGAAUGAUGUGAGCUUGCCUUGGGGUGAAGGCUGCUGGAGUCAGCUCUUUCCGAUCCUGGCUAGUUUUCUGCUCCUAAUAAAGGCUUCUUUCAUGGCUGGGCAAGAGGAAGACUCAGAUGGCCCUCCGUGGACAAGGGUUGGUUCCCGAAUCUGUCCCAGGUCCAAAGAUAGACAACUAACUCAAAAUUGUAUCUUCGCUUUAAUCACUGCUCUGGUGAUAUUUGCAUUAAUGAAAGAGAAAAGAAAGCAUCCCCAACAGAUGGAAAAGGCGGCUCUCUGACUAGUGAAAGAACAACUUCCAGUAAAAGAAGGCACUGAGGUUUAAGUGCUACGUGGGAGCAGUUGCCGAUUUUUGCAAUGGGAGGCUGCAUAGAUUCAAGGACUUCCUUGAGUGCUCCAGGAGCUUGUCAUUCCAGAGACAGAGCAGCCCAGAAGUCCUGGGAUUUACACCUCUAGUAGAAACCCUCAACCAGAGAAGGAUGGAAGUCAAUGGGCAGAGUGCUCGGGAGACCUUUACCUGUUUUACCUGAUUACAUCCUCUGAGUCACAACGAGAAAGGAAGCCGAGCAACAGCCAGACCUGAUCUUCUUUAAUUGUGCUCUGUGGACCAAAGGCAACAGAAUUACCUAGGCCCCACCCAGAAAAUGCAGAAUCCUGGGUCCCUUAUGAAGCCACCGAAUCAAAAUUGUGGGGAGCAACCAGGAACCUGAUUUUUAAACAAGUUCCCCUGUGAUUCUUAUGCACAUUAAAAUUUGAAAACCCCUGGACAAAGCCACAGUUCCUGGAGGAGCAGAGAUGAGUCAUGUCCAUGAGUAAUACCCCAUGUUGACACAGCCCUGGUGCAAGGUAGGCACGCCCCUCACACCUGUUCUCAUCACCAACAUUCCUUGGACAAGGUCAGGAGACGGUCUUGAGCAAUUUGGUAUAAAACAAAUCUCUGUAAGUCACAUUUUAAAUAUAAUAUUUAGAGGGAUUGCAUUGGCAAAUCAAAUUGUUUUCAUUAUUGUAAAUUGUACUGUGCUCAGAUACUUACCCAAUCUUGACUUCAAAUUUAGCUCAACAUGACCUCUGGCCUUAGGCUUGAGGAUUGUAAGGCCCCCUGGCCCAGCACGCUUGCUGUGCUUGGGGCUCUGUUGUUAGCACUCUGUUUAUUUUGUUCUUGGGCACCGUCCACUACCUGGUCAGAAAAACCUUAGCCCCACUGUUCCCCAGUGCCUGUGUUCAUGUCUUGCCCCAAAGACCCAAUCCCAGAGGCUAUGGGUCCUCAAGGUUGAGAUUCUACCUAUGGCCCAAGCUAAGGUCCUGCCAUCUCUUAGCAGAAUUUCCAAAUCCUGGCCUACUUUCUAGGGUCUUCCAAUAUCAUCUGGUGCUGAAUUCCUAUCACCAAGCUCCAUGUGCCUCUCAGGACACCUCUCAUAAUCCCCCCAAACCAUAUACAGCCUAUCAGUGAGGAGCACAGGCUCGCUGGACAGCCUAGGUAUGAAGCUUGGCUCUGCCACUUGGUGGCUGUGUGACCUUAGCCAAACACCCCACCCAACAAGCCUCAAUUCCUGCAUCUAUAACAGCCCCUACUAUUAUAUGCAGCGUUGUCAUGAGUAUUGAGUGAGGUGAUACACUUACAGCCAAGCACAGUGCUUGGGCACAGCAAGGGCUCAAUAAAUGUUGGGGACCGGUCCAAAAGCUGUUCCAUGUCUGAGUGCGCGUACAUGUGAACAAAGCUCCAUGCCAAAGCAAAUGUGUCUCCAAGCUACCCUAGCAGUGGCACCAGGGGUCACUUAUAGAGUGUCACUUUGGGCUUUGGAACAAAUGGACUUGUAAGCAGCCUUUUCUCCUCUAUUUUUUUUUUUUUUUUUGAGACAGAGUUUCACUUUUGUCACCCAGGCUGGAGCGCAAUGGCGCGAUCUCGGCUCGCUGCAAACUCUGCCUCCCAGGUUCAAGUGAUUCUCCUGCCUCAGCCUCCCAAGUAGAUGGGAUUACUGGUGUGUGCCAUUAUGCCAGGUAAUUUUGUAUUUUUAGUAGACAUGGGGUUUCACCGUGUUGGCCAGGCUGGUCUUGAACUCCUGACCUCAGGUGAUCCACCCGCCUUGGCCUCCCAAAGUGCUGGGAUUACAGGCAUGAGCCAUCGCACCUGGCCAAAGCAGCCUUUUUAGAAUUCACCUUUGAAUAAUAAUAAUAAUAAUAGCAAAUACAUGGUACUCACUAUGAGCUAGACCCUGUGCUGAUAAGGGCAUUACUCAUUUGAUUCCUUCCAUAACAAGGCUGGUACUUUAUUACCCCCACUUUACAG
Molecule: long non-coding RNA, 2711 nt
Filed under: Homo sapiens (human)
Lineage: Eukaryota; Metazoa; Chordata; Mammalia; Primates; Hominidae
Description: HSALNT0095594
Source: RNAcentral